GUUUAGUGGUACUAUACCUCAGUUUUAUCAGGUGUUCUUAAAAUCACCUGGAAAUACUGAGGUUGUGUCUCACUGAAC
Molecule: microRNA precursor, 78 nt
Organism: Callithrix jacchus (white-tufted-ear marmoset)
Lineage: Eukaryota; Metazoa; Chordata; Mammalia; Primates; Cebidae
Source: Ensembl